RNAcentral lists this long non-coding RNA (1384 nucleotides) under Olea europaea subsp. europaea. The record is from RNAcentral. Lineage: Eukaryota; Viridiplantae; Streptophyta; Magnoliopsida; Lamiales; Oleaceae.
UGCUGCAUAGCUGGAGUUUGUUUUCCAAUUUUGUUAUUUUUUGUACAGCUUAUACCCACUUGUAUAGAGUUAGUUAGAGUAGAUUCCUUCCUCUCUAUAAAUAGCUAAGGCAUUGUACAGCAUAUUCACGAGAGAAAUGAAUGAAUACAAAUUGAUAUUCUUCUCCAUAUUGCUUUCUUCAAUUCUUAUUUUCUGAUAUGGUAUCAGAGCCAACAAUGGCUGAUUUAGAUGAAUCCAAUAUUGCUCAAAAUAUUACUAAUGCCACUCAAACCAGAAAUACAAAUUCUGAUCCCUCACAAUCAAAUAGUCCUUUUUACAUUGGUGCAAAUGAUAAUUCUGGAUCCUUGCUUGUUUCUCAUGAUCUGGACUCAAAUAACUAUUACUCUUGGGCAAGAUCCAUGAAGCGUGCACUCCGAAUCAAGAACAAACUUGGUUUUAUUGAUGGAAGCAUUGCUGAACCCACUGCUGCAGACAGUCCCCUCAUGGAACAUUGGCUUCGAUGUAAUGAUAUAGUCAUCACUUGGCUGCAAAACACCAUGGCACCUGAUAUCAAAUGCAGCACUCUAUAUGCUGAUACAGCCCAUCAACUAUGGAAGGAACUCAAGCAAAGGUUUGCGCAGCAGAAUGCACCAAGGGUUUUCGAGAUCAAACAAAACAUUGCCAAUCUGGUGCAAAAUCAGGAUAGUGUGAUUGUGUAUUUUUCAAAACUGAAAACAUUGCUAGAUGAAUUGAUGAAUUAUGAAUCUAUCCCUAGUUGUUCUUGUGGAGGAUUGAAAGAAGUAAUAAAUAACCAACAGAGAGAUUGGGUUAUGAAGUUCUUGAUGGGGCUUAAUGACUCUUACAAAAGCUUAAAGGCACAAAUCCUUUUGAUUAAACCCAUUCCUAAGUUUGAAUGAAGUGUAUUCACUUAUCCAACAAGAAGAAAAGAGGCGGCAGAUCUCUUUUGACAACACACCUGAUGAUACUAUGGCAAUGUUGGCAAAAGGAAAUUUUAAUGCAGGUAAGUCAUAUCAGGGAAAUCAGAAGAGGGAAAGGUAUUACUGCAGUUUUUGUAAGAUGCCUGGCCACUCCCUUGAAAGGUGUCUCAAAGCCAACCCUAACAAACCAUCAUGUUCUCAUUGUAAAAUGCCUGGACACUCAGCAGACAGGUGCUACAAACUACAUGGGUAUCCUCUAGGACGCAAGUUUGAAGGGAAAAGCAAACCUGCUGCAUCUAAUGUCAACCAAGUUUCCACUCUUAUGCCUUUUAAUCAGGAGCAAGUCAAUGAUAAUCCACAUCUUUCCUUGACACCAGAGCAAUAUUCUCAACUAAUGGCACUAUUUAAAACACAACAUCAUCCAGCCGCUACCAGUCAUGCCCAAACAAGUGUUACCUCUGAUGAUG